UAGCAAUACGGAUUCUUGACAAGAAAGAUGGGGGUAGUGGCAGACGGGGUAGUAACACGUAGGAACUUCCCUCAGAGACGGGUAUAACCAGCCGAAAGGUUGGCUAAUUCCCGAUAGUAUCUAACGAUUAAAUCAAUUAGAUUGGCUCUGAGAAAGGCCUGCGAGCUAUCAGCUUGUUGGUGAGGUAAUGGCUCACCAAGGCUAUGACGGCUAGGGGGCGUGAGAGCGCGACCCCCACCAAUGGAACUGAGACACGGUCCAUACACCUACGGGUGGCUGCAGUCAAGAACAUUCGACAAUGGGCGAAAGCCUGAUCGAGCGACGCCGCGUGCGGGAAGAAGCUCUUCGGAGUGUAAACCGCUUUUAUAGGGGAGGAACGUAAGUGACUGUACCCUAAGAAUAAGGCCUUGCUAACCUCGUGCCAGCAGCCGCGGUAAGACGAGGAGGCCAAGCGUUAUCCGGAUUUAUUGGGCGUAAAGGGUGUGUAGGAGGCAUAGUUAGUCUCUGUUCAAAUUUCACCGCUUAACGGUGAAACCGGCAGGGAAACGGCUAAGCUAUAGAGGGUGCCAGAGGCAAAUGGAACUCAUGGUGUAGGGGUGAAAUCCGUUGAUAUCAUGGGGAACACCAAAGGCGAAGGCAAUUUGCUGGGGCAUUCCUGACUCUGAAACACGAAAGCGUGGGGAUCAAAAAGGAUUAGAUACCCUUGUAGUCCACGCCCUAAACGUUGCACGCUAGACAUUCGAAGUAUCGACCCUUCGAGAGUCGUAAGCUAACGCGUUAAGCGUGCCGCCUGGGAAGUACGAUCGCAAGAUUAAAACUCAAAGGAAUAGACGGGGACUCGCACAAGCGGUGGAGCAUGUGGUUCAAUUCGACGGUAAACGAAAAACCUUACCAGGGCUUGAAAUGGAUUUGACGGUGUCCGAAAGGAUUACCUUCUCACAAGGACAAAUUCACAGGUGCUGCAUGGCUGUCGUCAGUUCGUGGCUUGAGUUGUUCCCUUAAGUGGGGUAACGAACGCAACCCUUAUCGCGCGUUACAGGUGUCGCGCGAGACUGCCUCGAUAAACGGGGAGGAAGGCGGGGAUGACGCCAAGUCCGCAUGGCCCUCUGAUGCCCUGGGCUACACACGUGCUACAAUGCGCUUUACAAUGGGCCGCGAUACCGCAAGGUGGAGCUAAUCCCAUCAAAGAAGCGCUCAGUUCGGAUUGAAGUCUGAAACCCGACUUCAUGAAGUUGGAAUCGCUAGUAAUCGCAGGUCAGCUAUACUGCGGUGAAUACGUUCUCGAGUCUUGUACUCACCGCCCGUCAUUGCAGGGAAGCUGGGAAUACCCGAAGCUCGUUUUUUAACGGAUUAAGGUAAGCUCGGUGACAAAGCAAAAGUCGAAACAAGGCA
Molecule: ribosomal RNA, 1392 nt
Filed under: metagenome
Description: bacterial SSU rRNA
Rfam family: Bacterial small subunit ribosomal RNA
Source: RNAcentral